Molecule: long non-coding RNA, 382 nt
Organism: Wyeomyia smithii (pitcher-plant mosquito)
Lineage: Eukaryota; Metazoa; Arthropoda; Insecta; Diptera; Culicidae
Exons: 3
Source: RefSeq, a predicted model, not a curated record
ACAAACGUUUGGAAGGUUGUUGGAAAAUCCCGAGCCAGAAGGAAGUUACUAGAAGAAAAGAAUACUGUCUCAAGCCCUGUUGCUACAACGUGAGGCAUUCAAUGAAAUAAAUGAUGUGUAUAUAAGAGGAUGUUCAAUUCUUAUGAAGGAAAUGGCGGUCCGCAGAGUUAAGCGACCAAUGGAAACAAUGGAUUUAUCACCUGAAGAAAUCUUUGCGUCUCCGCUAAUAAAGUGGAUUAGAAUUGAAGAUGCUACUUAUUACCUCGACCGUGAGAACCCUGCAACUCAUAUUAUUUGUUUCGGCUCAGCGUUUCAAAGUGGCCAUUUUAUGAUUGUGCUAGGCAGGAAUUGUAGUAUCAAUAUGGGAGCGAACGCUUCACAA